This 497-nucleotide ribosomal RNA is filed under the name uncultured bacterium. Its description in RNAcentral is "partial 16S ribosomal RNA". It matches the Rfam family "Bacterial small subunit ribosomal RNA", at positions 28 to 507 of the family's 1533-position model. The record is from RNAcentral.
GAUGAACGCUGGCGGCAUGCCUAAUACAUGCAAGUCGAACGAACAGACGAUGAGCUUGUUCCCCUGCGGUUAGCGGCGGACGGGCGGGUAACAAGUAGAUCGCCUUCUUCUUUUUCUGGGAUAAUUACGUAGAAAAGGUGAUACUACUACCUCAUAUAUUCAACGGCUUAGAGCAGUGGUGCUUGAGAGUUUUGCUGUCACAUUUAGCUGGAUUCGGGCCGCAUUAGCUAGUUGGUAAGGUAACGGCAUACCAAGGCAACGAUGCGUAGCCGACCUGAGAGGAUGAUCAGCCACACUGGAACUGAGACACGGUCCAGACUCCUACGGGAGGCAGCAGUAGGGAAUCUUCGGCAAUGGGCGAAGGCCUGACGCAGCAACGCCGCGUGAGUGAUGAAGGUCUUCGGGUCGUAAAACUCUUUUGUUGGGGAAGAAAAAAUGUGGAUGUAACUAUGGACGUUUUGACGGUACCUAAACAGAAAGCAACGGCUAACUACGUG